CAUCUCUUCUCGGUUUAUAUGAGAAGUAGGCCCUGCCCGGUGCCUUACAGGUAAACGGCGGCCUUAGCGUGAGGGUCUUAAGGUAGCAUGAUAAGUCGGCCUUUGAUUGGGGUCUGGUAUGAAUGGGUUGACGUUGGAUAUACUGUCUCGCAAAGUAAAGUUGAAAUUAAUUUUAAAGUGAAGAAGCUUUAAUUAAAAAAAAAGACGACAAGACCCUAUGAAGCUUUAUCGUAAGGAAAAAAAAUGUGUAUAAUAUUUUAUUUUUUAUGAUUUUGUUGGGAUAACAAAGCGGGGAUGUACUGCUUAGUAUUAAAUUACUUACAAGUUGUAUCUUGGAUUUUAAAAUAUGGCAAGCUACUCUAGGGAUAACAGCGCGAUCUUUUUUAAGAGUUCAAAUCGAAAAAAAGGUUUGCGACCUCGAUGUUGGCUUUAGGUAACCCAAAGGCGUAGAGGCUUUUGAGCGUGGGUCUGUUCGACCUUUAAUUCCUAACGUG
Molecule: ribosomal RNA, 494 nt
Filed under: Brachidontes sp. n. DBQ-2020
Lineage: Eukaryota; Metazoa; Mollusca; Bivalvia; Mytilida; Mytilidae
Description: partial large subunit ribosomal RNA
Rfam family: Bacterial large subunit ribosomal RNA
Source: RNAcentral